This 477-nucleotide ribosomal RNA is filed under the name uncultured bacterium. RNAcentral describes it as "bacterial SSU rRNA". It matches the Rfam family "Bacterial small subunit ribosomal RNA", at positions 50 to 518 of the family's 1533-position model. The record is from RNAcentral.
AACACAUGCAAGUCGAGGGGCAGCAUGAAGUUUGCUUGCAAACUUUGAUGGCGACCGGCGCACGGGUGAGUAACGCGUAUCCAACUCCCUAGUAGAGGAUAGCCCGGCGAAAGUCGGAUUAAUACUCUAUCGUUGUAUUUUGAGGACAUCUGACGAAUACCAAAGAUUCAUCGCUAAGGGAUGGGGAUGCGUCUGAUUAGCUUGUUGGCGGGGUAACGGCCCACCAAGGCGACGAUCAGUAGGGGUUCUGAGAGGAAGGUCCCCCACAUUGGUACUGAGACACGGACCAAACUCCUACGGGAGGCAGCAGUGAGGAAUAUUGGUCAAUGGGCGAGAGCCUGAACCAGCCAAGUAGCGUGCAGGAAAGACUGCCCUAUGGGUUGUAAACUGCUUUUAUCAGGGAAUAAAGUUCGGCACGUGUGCUGUUUUGUAUGUACCUGAUGAAUAAGGACCGGCUAAUUCCGUGCCAGCCGCAGC